This 2236-nucleotide ribosomal RNA is filed under the name Salmonella enterica subsp. enterica serovar Typhimurium str. DT104. RNAcentral describes it as "bacterial LSU rRNA". It matches the Rfam family "Bacterial large subunit ribosomal RNA", at positions 691 to 2823 of the family's 2925-position model. Lineage: Bacteria; Pseudomonadati; Pseudomonadota; Gammaproteobacteria; Enterobacterales; Enterobacteriaceae. The record is from RNAcentral.
GGCGUUAAGUUGCAGGGUAUAGACCCGAAACCCGGUGAUCUAGCCAUGGGCAGGUUGAAGGUUGGGUAACACUAACUGGAGGACCGAACCGACUAAUGUUGAAAAAUUAGCGGAUGACCUGUGGCUGGGGGUGAAAGGCCAAUCAAACCGGGAGAUAGCUGGUUCUCCCCGAAAGCUAUUUAGGUAGCGCCUCGUGAAUUCAUCUCCGGGGGUAGAGCACUGUUUCGGCUAGGGGGCCAUCCCGGCUUACCAACCCGAUGCAAACUGCGAAUACCGGAGAAUGUUAUCACGGGAGACACACGGCGGGUGCUAACGUCCGUCGUGAAGAGGGAAACAACCCAGACCGCCAGCUAAGGUCCCAAAGUCAUGGUUAAGUGGGAAACGAUGUGGGAAGGCCCAGACAGCCAGGAUGUUGGCUUAGAAGCAGCCAUCAUUUAAAGAAAGCGUAAUAGCUCACUGGUCGAGUCGGCCUGCGCGGAAGAUGUAACGGGGCUAAACCAUGCACCGAAGCUGCGGCAGCGAACGUAUCACCCAAGACAACUUUACGGAGUUGACGAUUGACGGAGCGAAGCGACGUCAAAGCGUUCAUUAAAGUCGAGUUGGCUUAGGGAUACGUUCGUUGGGUAGGGGAGCGUUCUGUAAGCCUGUGAAGGUGUGUCGUGAGGCAUGCUGGAGGUAUCAGAAGUGCGAAUGCUGACAUAAGUAACGAUAAAGCGGGUGAAAAGCCCGCUCGCCGGAAGACCAAGGGUUCCUGUCCAACGUUAAUCGGGGCAGGGUGAGUCGACCCCUAAGGCGAGGCCGAAAGGCGUAGUCGAUGGGAAACGGGUUAAUAUUCCCGUACUUGGUGUUACUGCGAAGGGGGGACGGAGAAGGCUAUGUUGGCCGGGCGACGGUUGUCCCGGUUUAAGCGUGUAGGUGUGUGUUCCAGGUAAAUCCGGUUCACUUUAACACUGAGGCGUGACGACGAGGCACUACGGUGCUGAAGCAACAAAUGCCCUGCUUCCAGGAAAAGCCUCUAAGCAUCAGGUAACACGAAAUCGUACCCCAAACCGACACAGGUGGUCAGGUAGAGAAUACCAAGGCGCUUGAGAGAACUCGGGUGAAGGAACUAGGCAAAAUGGUGCCGUAACUUCGGGAGAAGGCACGCUGACACGUAGGUGAAGUGAUUUACUCAUGGAGCUGAAGUCAGUCGAAGAUACCAGCUGGCUGCAACUGUUUAUUAAAAACACAGCACUGUGCAAACACGAAAGUGGACGUAUACGGUGUGACGCCUGCCCGGUGCCGGAAGGUUAAUUGAUGGGGUCAGCGUAAGCGAAGCUCCUGAUCGAAGCCCCGGUAAACGGCGGCCGUAACUAUAACGGUCCUAAGGUAGCGAAAUUCCUUGUCGGGUAAGUUCCGACCUGCACGAAUGGCGUAAUGAUGGCCAGGCUGUCUCCACCCGAGACUCAGUGAAAUUGAACUCGCUGUGAAGAUGCAGUGUACCCGCGGCAAGACGGAAAGACCCCGUGAACCUUUACUAUAGCUUGACACUGAACAUUGAGCCUUGAUGUGUAGGAUAGGUGGGAGGCUUUGAAGUGUGGACGCCAGUCUGCAUGGAGCCGACCUUGAAAUACCACCCUUUAAUGUUUGAUGUUCUAACGUGGACCCGUAAUCCGGGUUGCGGACAGUGUCUGGUGGGUAGUUUGACUGGGGCGGUCUCCUCCUAAAGAGUAACGGAGGAGCACGAAGGUUGGCUAAUCCUGGUCGGACAUCAGGAGGUUAGUGCAAUGGCAUAAGCCAGCUUGACUGCGAGCGUGACGGCGCGAGCAGGUGCGAAAGCAGGUCAUAGUGAUCCGGUGGUUCUGAAUGGAAGGGCCAUCGCUCAACGGAUAAAAGGUACUCCGGGGAUAACAGGCUGAUACCGCCCAAGAGUUCAUAUCGACGGCGGUGUUUGGCACCUCGAUGUCGGCUCAUCACAUCCUGGGGCUGAAGUAGGUCCCAAGGGUAUGGCUGUUCGCCAUUUAAAGUGGUACGCGAGCUGGGUUUAGAACGUCGUGAGACAGUUCGGUCCCUAUCUGCCGUGGGCGCUGGAGAACUGAGGGGGGCUGCUCCUAGUACGAGAGGACCGGAGUGGACGCAUCACUGGUGUUCGGGUUGUCAUGCCAAUGGCACUGCCCGGUAGCUAAAUGCGGAAGAGAUAAGUGCUGAAAGCAUCUAAGCACGAAACUUGCCCCGAGAUGAGUUCUCCCUGAGACUU